Molecule: long non-coding RNA, 1856 nt
Organism: Ictalurus punctatus (channel catfish)
Lineage: Eukaryota; Metazoa; Chordata; Actinopteri; Siluriformes; Ictaluridae
Source: Ensembl
CAAAUAAAUAAAUGGUGCCCUCGCCCCGCUACACACUUCCCGCACCAAGCUUGGGAGAGUUUGACAAAUGACACACAGACACGCAAAGUUCAAAUGGCAAGAUCUUGGAUUUAUUCAAAGAAAGGCAGAGUAUAUAUUAUGCUUGGCACACGACAGAGACAAUGGGUUAACUAGUGAUUGGCUAGGUGGAAGGGCAUAUUCGCAUAAGACGGGAAGCAUAUCAGUGUAAGACUGGAACAACACCAUAUAUGGUUUUCAGGCAUUCGUAGGAAUACGAACAAAUGUUAUUCAGGAAGGUGUGUAAACGCGUGCAGAUGGUAUUCAGGGAAAAAAGGAAUGCGCAAAUGGUGAGGGGCUUUAUCCGUCUGUACCCGAGUUAACACGGGAACAAAGAGAAAAAACGUGCCGAGGGGGCGGGGGGAGAGGAGUGUUCACAGUAAACUUAUCAAUUGUGUAAAGUAACCGAAAAUGAACAAAUGAAACACACCCGAACAAAUUUAUCCCGCUGGCAAAAAGUCGAUGCACACAAGAGGAGAAAAUGACUUGGCGGAGGAUUGUAUCUGUUCAAAUCAGUCGAAAAGGAAGCUAUCAUCGGUGCCGAUAAGCUCCCGGAUGAAAUCACGAUCUUGAACUCAGGCGCGGAUGUAGUCUGUGUGAAGGACGUUCACAUGCCGACUUGAACCAAACUCGGUACUAUUUGAAGAUGAGUUCACAAAGCCAUGAUUUGUAGCGCACCCACUCAUCACCUCUCCUCCUCUAAUUAAUCUCAGGCUCGAGUGGAGGCGUCAUGGGGAGAAACCGAUCACGGAUCAGAGGCUGAGCCACAGGCAGAACCAGGCCGUCGGCAUUCGGAGGGGAGCGUGGGAGUGAGCGAGUGAUGCUGAUAGCGGGCGGGCUGACAUUAUACUCAAUGGAGUCCCAGACUGAAGCAUUCCCGAGGAGAAGUGCAUAAAUGUAACGUCUUGGUCAGGUUGGAUCUCCCCUCUCACAGGUGUAUAAUAUUCUCCACGUACACCCACCACCUUCAGAUUCCUGUUCGUAGCUCAUCGGCUUCAGGGUUCAGCUUCAGGUGUCGCACGUUCCGAGAUUCACUCCUGCUCACCACGUUUGUAAAGAGUAAAGUUUACCGUAGCCUCCCUGUCAGCUCGAAACAUUUCUUCUCUCUGGCUAUUCACCUCGAAGCUCUAUCGUCAACAAGGCGUCUCUGUCCACGUCACUGACGUUCACUGGAUGUUUUUUGUUUUUCGCACCAUUCUGUCUAAACCAUGAAGACAGUUAGAGUUUUAACCCUUAGCAAGAUUCCAAUCAGUAUGCAUCGAGUGAACAUUUCAGGAGCCGAGAUGAAUAACAGGAGGGCUGAAGCACCCUUAGAUAAGGUUUACAAUCGCCUAGACUCGCGACCCUGACCUUGCGUCAAUGGAUUUGACCCAAAGAGCAUGAAAAUCAAGACUCAAACACUGCUCCCCAGAGCGCAUUAGCAGUGUCAUGACUGCGUGACUCCUGCAAGAACGCAAAGGAAAACAAUCAAUUUAAACUUCAUUGCUGAUGCAUUAUGGACUAUGUUUUUCAAGCUUAUAUCCCAUAUGCAUGGGUUUCCUCUGGGUUGUCUGGUUUCGUCCCGCCUCCAGAAAGCACGCUGUUAGGUGGACUGGCUACGCUAAAUUGCUCAUAGAUGUGAAUGAGUGUACAUGGUGCCCUGUGAUGGAAUGGUUCCCCAUCUAUGGUGCAUCCAGACUUGCUUCGAUAUGGACCCCGCAUCCACCACAACCCUGAAUAUAUCCCGCAGCGUGUUCAUACAACGGUGUGAACACGGACCGAAAAAAUAUUCUGACGGGGGGGGGACAAAAGCUUUUAAU